This 366-nucleotide long non-coding RNA is filed under the name Setaria viridis. RNAcentral describes it as "long non-coding RNA (SVIR_LNC008662)". The record is from RNAcentral. Lineage: Eukaryota; Viridiplantae; Streptophyta; Magnoliopsida; Poales; Poaceae.
UAAACAAUAAAUUAGUCUAGGUACUACAAUAUGUCUACACAUUGCAGUACAUGACCUAAGCAUGCCCAUACUUAAAGUGCAUUACAUGACAACGCAAUGAAAAGUCCAACAGUAGACAACAUUGUUCAUGAAUAAUCCAUAGAACUAGCAAGUAAUCGAGACUACUGAGUGCAACAUGGCCACUUUCCCUUCCUCAGGGUAUCGGGAUUCUCCUCCAUCGCUGCUUUCGCUCGGCGUGCACGCUCAAGCUUCUUCUCCCUCUCCUCCCUAUACGCAACAACACGCCUCCUUUCCUCCUCUUCCUUGUGCUCGUUUUCUGCAGCCUCCUCUCUGCGUCUCUUCUCCAUCAUCUCCUUCUUCUCUGCC